AGUAUUGUUUGUCCACCGAUAAGCCCCGGAACUUAUUGUAUGUCAAACAUGAA
The sequence is a regulatory RNA element, 53 nucleotides long. It matches the Rfam family "Ribosomal protein L13 leader". From Rfam's summary of the family: This family is a putative r-protein leader autoregulatory structure found in B. subtilis and other low-GC Gram-positive bacteria. It is located in the 5' untranslated regions of mRNAs encoding the L13-S9 (rplM-rpsI) ribosomal protein operon. The record is from Rfam.